GUGCUCACUUCGGCAGCACAUAUAGUAAAAUUGGAAUGAUACAGAGAAGAUUAGCAUGGCCCCCACACAAGGAUGACACACAAAUUUGUGAAGCAUUCCAUAUUUUU
Small nuclear RNA from Pongo abelii (Sumatran orangutan), 107 nucleotides. The record is from Ensembl. NCBI's taxonomy places the organism in Eukaryota, Metazoa, Chordata, Mammalia, Primates, Hominidae.